Molecule: ribosomal RNA, 460 nt
Filed under: uncultured bacterium
Lineage: Bacteria
Description: partial 16S ribosomal RNA
Rfam family: Bacterial small subunit ribosomal RNA
Source: RNAcentral
CCUACGGGAGGCAGCAGUGAGGAAUAUUGGUCAAUGGACGAGAGUCUGACCCAGCCAAGUCGCGUGAAUGAUGACUGCCCUAUGGGUUGUAAACUUCUUUUAUAUGGGAAUAAAAUGUUCCACGUGUGGGAUUUUGUAUGUACCAUAUGAAUAAGGAUCGGCUCACUCCGUGCCAGCAGCCGCGGUAAUACGGAGGAUCCGAGCGUUAUCCGGCUUUAUUGGGUUUAAAGGGAGCGUAGGUGGAUUGGUAAGUCAGUUGUGAAAGUUUGCGGCUCAACCGUAAAAUUGCAGUUGAAACUGGCAGUCUUGAGUACAGUAGAGGUGGGCGGAAUUCGUGGUGUAGCGGUGAAAUGCUUAGAUAUUACGAAGAACUCCGAUUGCGAAGGCAGCUCACUGGACUGCAACUGACACUGAGGCGCGAAAGUGUGGGGAUCAAACAGGAUUAGAUACCCGAGUAGUC